This 149-nucleotide unclassified non-coding RNA is filed under the name Sordariales sp. RNAcentral's name for it is "partial internal transcribed spacer 2". RNAcentral also lists the same sequence under 1 other name. Lineage: Eukaryota; Fungi; Ascomycota; Sordariomycetes; Sordariales. The record is from RNAcentral.
CAACCAUCAAGCCCCAGGCUUGUGUUGGGGCCCUGCGGCUGCCGCAGGCCCUGAAAAACAGUGGCGGGCUCGCUGUCACACCGAGCGUAGUAAUACAUCUCGCUUUGGACGUGCGGCGGGUUCUUGCCGUUAAACACCCCCCUUCUCAA